RNAcentral lists this long non-coding RNA (1083 nucleotides) under Vulpes vulpes (red fox). RNAcentral describes it as "lncRNA (ENSVVUG00000002899.1)". The record is from RNAcentral. Lineage: Eukaryota; Metazoa; Chordata; Mammalia; Carnivora; Canidae.
UGUCUUUCCACAAGUCUGUGAGGUAAAUGUUUUCUUAUUUAUUUAUUUAUUUAUUUAUUUAUUUAUUUAUUUAAAGAUUUUAUUUAUUUUUUCAUGAGAGACACACACAGAGAGAGAGAGAGGCAGAACACAGACAGAGGGAGAAGCAGGCUCCGUGCAGGGAGCCUGAGGUGGGACUCAAUCCCCGGUCUCCAAGAUCAGGCCCUGGGCUGAAGGUGGCGCUAAACCGCUGAGCCACCCAGACUGCCCCCAAAUUUAUAUUUAUUGAUGGGAAAACUAAGGCUUCAAAAGGUUCACUGACAUGUCCAAACUGAACAGCGAGCAAGUGACAAAGCCAGGAUCUGAACCCAAGUCUGUCUGCCCUGGGAGCCCGAGCCCCUGGCCUCUGUACUGCAUGAGACAUGGUGACCCAGGCGGUAACCACUUAGCAGUUCUGUAGAAUCUCCAUCUGACAUGUGUGUGAGGCCCAUUCUGGAGAUCUUAGAAAGCACCACAAAGAAAAACCAGACUUUAGGAAUAAACAGAAACACAACAGGAUCGCCCCUGGGAUUUGCUUGUGCACCUCUCUUCUUACUGAGCCAUCUCCUCGAUGCAGAAUUUCUCCGUAUCUUCCUACCUGCCCUGAUGAUUCCUUCUAGGCACUUUGCAUGGUUCUCCAUGGAAACUUUCUCUUUCCACAAUUGCCCAAGCCUGCAAGUCCCUGGGAAUGCAGCUGCCAGUCAGCCACGCAGUGUGAUUCUUACCAGCAGCCAUUCCAGCUAAGAAUCAGAAACAGUAGAAGCCACAGAGGGAUGGAUCGUGUCUCCCAUCUCCACCAAGAGCAGCCAUUCCCAGGGUGAGACUGCUCAGGCCCAGGGAGGACCCAGGGAGGACAGAAGAUUCGAGAUUCGCCAUCUAGUCUGAGAAGGCUGUGGGGCUGGCGCGGAGCUCAGUGCAGCAUGAGACAGGCAGACAGACACACAGAGAGCACCACGGAACAACAGAAAACAACUUACUCAUAGACUCUGAUCUUAGACAGUCUCCUGGUUUUCCUGAGCACUGCACUGUUGCUGCCUUCUUGUUCCCCAAACAACUGUGAUUUUG